UUUUCCUUCACAAGAGAGAAGCGACCGCCAGCUUGUGAAGCCAUCAUCUCUAUCCUAGUACAAGCUCACCACCGAGUCUUGUAUCAAAAAAACAAGCAAGGAUCUGACUCUCCUAACACCACACAGCAUGGAUCUCACUUCUUCUGGCUUAGAAACAGCAAGAACAGCCUAGAAACACCACCAAAAAGCGUUACAGAAACCUUCAAAAAUUUUCAAUCUCUUUCACUCUCUGUAAAAUGCUAAAGUCUGCUGAAGAAUGACAAAGGUCGACUUCUCUUCUUUUAAAUGUCAAGCCUAGGGUUAAACCGACCUAAUUAAGCUGAUUUUGCAAUUAAAAUUAAACCGACCUAACCGAAAAAUGUUGGUGUCGCUCGACA
Molecule: long non-coding RNA, 377 nt
Filed under: Capsella rubella
Lineage: Eukaryota; Viridiplantae; Streptophyta; Magnoliopsida; Brassicales; Brassicaceae
Description: long non-coding RNA (CRUB_LNC004896)
Source: RNAcentral